RNAcentral lists this long non-coding RNA (1429 nucleotides) under Ictidomys tridecemlineatus (thirteen-lined ground squirrel). Its description in RNAcentral is "lncRNA (ENSSTOG00000031776.1)". Lineage: Eukaryota; Metazoa; Chordata; Mammalia; Rodentia; Sciuridae. The record is from RNAcentral.
UUUGCAGGCCUUUAUCGUAUUGUCUGCUCUAAAUCCCUAGGUGUCAGCCUCAUUUUCAAAGGGCGUAGUCUCAGCUGUGCUUUAGGGAUUAGGAGAGCCUCUGAAGUCUCCCCCUUGGGCUCAGCCAUGUGGUCAGCGCAGCAGCCUGAAGAACAGUGAGAAGCAGAGAGAGCAGUCCAGACGGUGGGGAGGCAAAGAGCAAGACCAGAGAUUGGAAUGUGUCAGCUGACUCAGGACUGAGCAGAAGACAGAGGAGGUGCCUGAGCUUCAGCAUUCUGGGCGUGUGACGGGUCAAUCCCAUCCGGAAAUACUAAUUCUGCUAUUUGAAGGCUCUCUGAUCUUGAGAUGUCAUUAAAACUCCCUGAGACUCAGUUUACCCAUCUGCAACAUGGAGGACAAGAUUGAGGAUAUACUGCAUGGUUCGGACCAGAUGAACCGUGAAUGUGCCUAUGGAAGUCACAUCUUUGAAAACACUGUCAACAGAACAAUAAUGGGAUCACUUCUCAUUGGAAGUCGCCUAAAGAAAUAUCUGGUGGCAUUCUUCUAAUUGUUUAAGAUUUUUCGUUUUGAAAACAAACAUGGAAGAUGUCAGUGAGCUAAACCAGGAGAAUAAGGAGAUUGCAGUAUUUUGCAUGGAAAAUUGGGAAGUAUAGGAAAUGGCAACUUCAAAGUGGAGGAGACUGAGGGUUCAUGUCUCUGGACCUAGGAGAAGGAAGUAGAGAAAAUGAGAACCUCUCCUGAGACAGAGAAGAAAUCCUUAACUCUAAGCAUAUAGGAAGGCGAUAUAGGUCCCAAAUGUUCACCUUGCUGUUAUUCAAGUCCUUCAAAUAUAGAUGCUAAAAUGCUCUAUCAUCCAGCUGAACAUCAGAAAAACAACGAAAGCAUAUUUUAACCGAAGUAGUAUGAACUCCACUCUCCAAAUAUUCAACAAAUAUGUCGUUAUCUAAGGAUAUUUCUUGUAUGGACACAUCUUCCCCAGGGCAAAUGCCUUAGUCCAUUUUUUGUAGUGCUGUUAAUAGUCCAGAAUAUUUCACCUGAGACUGGUUAGACAGAUCUUAUUGGCUCACAGUUCCGGAGCUGGGAAGACCAAUAUCGAGAUUCAAAUACCUACCAAGGCCCUGUGAGAGAGGCUGAAAGGGGGCUGAAUUCCCCUUUUAUAAUAACAUCAAUUCCACCUUAAGGAUGGAGCCCUCAUGGUCAGAUCCCAUUUUAAAGGUUUCACCUCUUAAGACUUUUACAUCGGCAAUUAAAUGUCAGCAUGAGUUUUGAAGGAUAAGAACAUCCAAAUCAUAGCAGUAAAGAGGGGCUGGGGAUGUGGCUCAAGUGGUAGUGCGCUCGCCUGGCAUGUGUGCGGCCCGGGUUCAAUCCUCAGCACCACAUACAAACAAAGAUGUUGUGUCCGCUGAAAACUAAGAAAUAAAUAUUUAAA